UACAGAGGGGGCAAGCGUUGUUCGGAAUUACUGGGCGUAAAGGGCGCGUAGGCGGCCUGCUAAGUCGAACGUGAAAUCCCCGGGCUCAACCCGGGAACUGCGUCCGAUACUGGAAGGCUUGAAUCCGGGAGAGGGAUGUGGAAUUCCAGGUGUAGCGGUGAAAUGCGUAGAUAUCAGGAGGAACACCGGUGGCGAAGGCGGGUCUCUGGGCCGAUACUGACGCUGAGGAGCGAAAGCGUGGGGAGCGAACAGG
Molecule: ribosomal RNA, 253 nt
Filed under: uncultured bacterium
Lineage: Bacteria
Description: partial 16S ribosomal RNA
Rfam family: Bacterial small subunit ribosomal RNA
Source: RNAcentral